This 422-nucleotide ribosomal RNA is filed under the name Flabellum apertum. RNAcentral's name for it is "partial 16S ribosomal RNA". It matches the Rfam family "Bacterial large subunit ribosomal RNA", at positions 2003 to 2454 of the family's 2925-position model. Lineage: Eukaryota; Metazoa; Cnidaria; Anthozoa; Scleractinia; Flabellidae. The record is from RNAcentral.
CACGAGGGUCUCACAGUCUUAAGGAAAUUUCCAGUGAAAUUGAAUUUGUAGUGAAGAUGCUACAUCCAAAUUGUUAGACAAGAAGUCCCCAUGGAACUUUACUGGAGACUUAUGUGGCUUAAAUUAAUUUAUUUCUUACAAAUAAAUAGUUUUAAAAUGUGGUGUUAACCCCUCGGAUUAACUAGGGUUAUAAAAGCUCACUCUUUUAUUUAAAGAAAGCCAACUCAAAAAGUUAUGUCUUUGGGAUUUGAUAAGUGGGACAGUUUGGUUGGGGCGACCGCCUUUAAAAAAGUAACGAAGGCGGGCUUAAGAUACAUAUUUAGUGAUGUCUGACUGCCAAGGGGAGAUCCUGAGCAGACACUUACUUUUUAGGUGGGUUUAAGUGACCCGUUGAUUUAGGGUGAAAUAGUUAACGAUAAACA